AUUGAACGCUGGCGGAAUGCUUUACACAUGCAAGUCGAACGGCAGCACGGACUUCGGUCUGGUGGCGAGUGGCGAACGGGUGAGUAAUGUAUCGGAACGUGCCCAGUCGUGGGGGAUAACGUAGUGAAACUUACGCUAAUACCGCAUACGAUCUAUGGAUGAAAGCGGGGGAUCGCAAGACCUCGUGCGAUUGGAUCGGCCGAUAUGCGAUUAGGUAGUGGGUGGGGUAAAGGCCCACCAAGCCAACGAUCUGUAGCUGGUCUGAGAGGACGACCAGCAACACUGGAACUGAGACACGGUCCAGACUCCUACGGGAGGCAGCAGUGGGGAAUUUUGGACAAUGGGCGAAAGCCUGAUCCAGCCAUUCCGCGUGCAGGAUGAAGGCCCUCGGGUUGUAAACUGCUUUUGUACAGAACGAAAAGGUUUCUACUAAUACUAGGAGCUCAUGACGGUACUGUAAGAAUAAGCACCGGCUAACUACGUGCCAGCCGCCGCAGUAA
RNAcentral lists this ribosomal RNA (500 nucleotides) under uncultured bacterium. RNAcentral's name for it is "partial 16S ribosomal RNA". It matches the Rfam family "Bacterial small subunit ribosomal RNA", at positions 30 to 523 of the family's 1533-position model. The record is from RNAcentral.